AUGAAAUUUCAGCAAGAAAUAGGAAGAUAGCAAUAGAAUAAAACCAUAAUUUAUUAAUAAUUACUUCUGCCUGACUGGCGAGUUUUCCCCUGUAUAGGCUGGUGUAUUGAGUAUUCUAACUCAGUCAGUAUCUUCAUGUAGACUUUGUUUAGGUAGCAAGCAGUUAUUCCUUUGGCUGCUCUGAAGUCUUCACACACAGUCAUUCCAAUGGAAAGUUGGACAAAUGACAGCAGCAGCACAGUUAAGGUGACAUUGAGCCAAACAUCCUCCACCCCAGUAGUUCACUCUAGCCUGGCA
Molecule: long non-coding RNA, 297 nt
Filed under: Anser brachyrhynchus (Pink-footed goose)
Lineage: Eukaryota; Metazoa; Chordata; Aves; Anseriformes; Anatidae
Description: lncRNA (ENSABRG00000022068.1)
Source: RNAcentral